GUCUACGGCCAUACCACCCUGAACGCGCCCGAUCUCGUCUGAUCUCGGAAGCUAAGCAGGGUCGGGCCUGGUUAGUACUUGGAUGGGAGAAGGACCUAAAAAUCAGUAACAAAAAUC
Non-coding RNA from Pongo abelii (Sumatran orangutan), 117 nucleotides. NCBI's taxonomy places the organism in Eukaryota, Metazoa, Chordata, Mammalia, Primates, Hominidae. The record is from Rfam.